This 625-nucleotide ribosomal RNA is filed under the name Anguilla rostrata (American eel). RNAcentral describes it as "partial 16S ribosomal RNA". It matches the Rfam family "Bacterial large subunit ribosomal RNA", at positions 1804 to 2613 of the family's 2925-position model. The record is from RNAcentral. Lineage: Eukaryota; Metazoa; Chordata; Actinopteri; Anguilliformes; Anguillidae.
UUAUCAAAAACAUCGCCUCUUGCUAACAAAGGAAGUACUAGAGGUCCCGCCUGCCCUGUGACCACAAAGUUUAACGGCCGCGGUAUCCUGACCGUGCGAAGGUAGCGUAAUCAUUUGUCUUUUAAAUAGAGACCUGUAUGAAUGGCAUAACGAGGGUUUAACUGUCUCCUUCCCCCAGUCAAUGAAAUUGAUCUGCCCGUGCAGAAGCGGACAUAAAUACAUAAGACGAGAAGACCCUAUGGAGCUUUAGACAAAAGAUCAAACAUGUAAAGAAACCAAAACAACCAAAAGGAACACGAAGGCCACAAAACCCAACGUAAACUGAUCUAAAUGUCUUCGGUUGGGGCGACCAUGGGGGAAAGAAAAGCCCCCACGAGGAACAGGGACAACCCCUAAACUAAGAGGGACACCUCUAAGCAACAGAAAAUCUGACCAAAAUGACCCAGGAUACUAAUCCUGAUCAACGAACCAAGUUACCCUAGGGAUAACAGCGCAAUCCUUUCCCAGAGUCCAUAUCGACGAAAGGGUUUACGACCUCGAUGUUGGAUCAGGACAUCCUAAUGGUGCAGCCGCUAUUAAGGGUUCGUUUGUUCAACGAUUAAUAGUCCUACGUGAUCUGAGUUCA